Thunnus maccoyii (southern bluefin tuna) is the source of this 551-nucleotide long non-coding RNA. RefSeq lists it as uncharacterized. Lineage: Eukaryota; Metazoa; Chordata; Actinopteri; Scombriformes; Scombridae. The transcript has 3 exons. The record is from RefSeq and is a predicted model, not a curated record.
AUUCAAGUAAAUGUGCGCAUAUUCAUCAGCUGAACCAGUAUGGUGACAGGACACGUUUAUUUGUUGUUUAUUGGUUGUUUGCUUUAUAAUGAAAGUUCAUAGUUCACCAAUAUUUCACAACUUUUAGUUCACACAUUAUUUUUGCUGUUUACGUCUAAUAAAGUGAAAUGUAAUCAGACCUAUAUGCUCAAAAUUAACAAAGAAACGUGCAUUUCUGGCUCAUUAAACACAGCUGACACUGAUUGCAUCAUUUCAUCCAGAUCAGGAAUAUCUGAACGCCUCCAGAAAAUGUUCUCCAGCACCUCAAACCUUUGUUACAAAAAGCUUUGAAGAACUGCUUUUGGCUUCUUUGCAUCAUCAACCUGGAACGCACUACAAAGCACUUUAAAAUGAAUUCAUUGGUAACUCUUGGUCAUUUUAAAUCCACAGUCUCAAACCUUUUAACUUCUGUUUGUACCUGUUUUUAAUGGAUUUUGUUGUUUGUCUAUUUAUUAAUUGUAUUUAUAUGUUUGUUUUAUUGACUGUCUUCUUUCUUGCUCGACGUCAUUGUA